Molecule: ribosomal RNA, 484 nt
Filed under: uncultured bacterium
Lineage: Bacteria
Description: partial 16S ribosomal RNA
Rfam family: Bacterial small subunit ribosomal RNA
Source: RNAcentral
GACGAACGCUGGCGGCGUGCUUAACACAUGCAAGUCGAACGAUGAAGCCGGAGCUUGCUCUGGUGAAUUAGUGGCGAACGGGUGAGUAACACGUGAGUAACCUGCCCUUGACUCUGGGAUAACUGCGGGAAACUGUAGCUAAUACCGGAUACGACCCUUGGAGGCAUCUCCUGGGGGUGGAAAGAAUUUCGGUCAAGGAUGGACUCGCGGCCUAUCAGCUAGUUGGUGAGGUAAAGGCUCACCAAGGCGACGACGGGUAGCCGGCCUGAGAGGGUGACCGGCCACACGGGGACUGAGACACGGCCCAGACUCCUACGGGAGGCAGCAGUGGGGAAUAUUGCACAAUGGGCGCAAGCCUGAUGCAGCAACGCCGCGUGAGGGAUGACGGCCUUCGGGUUGUAAACCUCUUUUAACAGGGAAGAAGCGAAAGUGACGGUACCUGCAGAAAAAGCACCGGCUAACUACGUGCCAGCCGCCGCGGUAA